RNAcentral lists this ribosomal RNA (484 nucleotides) under uncultured bacterium. Its description in RNAcentral is "partial 16S ribosomal RNA". It matches the Rfam family "Bacterial small subunit ribosomal RNA", at positions 30 to 507 of the family's 1533-position model. The record is from RNAcentral.
AUUGAACGCUGGCGGCAGGCCUAACACAUGCAAGUCGAGCGGAUGAAGGGAGCUUGCUCCUGGAUUCAGCGGCGGACGGGUGAGUAAUGCCUAGGAAUCUGCCUGGUAGUGGGGGAUAACGUCCGGAAACGGGCGCUAAUACCGCAUACGUCCUGAGGGGGAAAGUGGGGGAUCUUCGGACCUCACGCUAUCAGAUGAGCCUAGGUCGGAUUAGCUAGUUGGUGGGGUAAAGGCUUACCAAGGCGACGAUCCGUAACUGGUCUGAGAGGAUGAUCAGUCACACUGGAACUGAGACACGGUCCAGACUCCUACGGGAGGCAGCAGUGGGGAAUAUUGGACAAUGGGCGAAAGCCUGAUCCAGCCAUGCCGCGUGUGUGAAGAAGGUCUUCGGAUUGUAAAGCACUUUAAGUUGGGAGGAAGGGCAGUAAGUUAAUACCUUGCUGUUUUGACGUUACCAACAGAAUAAGCACCGGCUAACUUCGUG